AUUGAACGCUGGCGGCAGGCCUAACACAUGCAAGUCGAGCGGAUGAAGGGAGCUUGCUCCUGGAUUCAGCGGCGGACGGGUGAGUAAUGCCUAGGAAUCUGCCUGGUAGUGGGGGAUAACGUCCGGAAACGGGCGCUAAUACCGCAUACGUCCUGAGGGAGAAAGUGGGGGAUCUUCGGACCUCACGCUAUCAGAUGAGCCUAGGUCGGAUUAGCUAGUUGGUGGGGUAAAGGCCUACCAAGGCGACGAUCCGUAACUGGUCUGAGAGGAUGAUCAGUCAAACUGGAAAUGAGAAACGGGCCAGACUCCUAAGGGGGGGAGCAGUGGGGAAUGUUGGGCAAUGGGGGAAAGCCUGAAGCAGGCCAGGCGCGGGGGUGAAAAAGGUCUUCGGAUUGUAAAACUCUUUUAUUUGGGAAGAAGGGGUGGGAAGGUAACUCUUCGCGUUUUUACGGUACCCAACAAAAAAGCCACGGCUAAAUUCGGG
Molecule: ribosomal RNA, 484 nt
Filed under: uncultured bacterium
Lineage: Bacteria
Description: partial 16S ribosomal RNA
Rfam family: Bacterial small subunit ribosomal RNA
Source: RNAcentral